GGCCUGUUAGCUCAGCUGGUUAGAGCGUGGUGCUAAUAACGCCAAGGUCGUGGGAUCGAUUCGAUCCCCACAUGGGCCA
This 79-nucleotide transfer RNA is filed under the name Danionella cerebrum. RNAcentral describes it as "tRNA-Ile". It matches the Rfam family "tRNA". From Rfam's summary of the family: Transfer RNA (tRNA) molecules are approximately 80 nucleotides in length. Their secondary structure includes four short double-helical elements and three loops (D, anti-codon, and T loops). The record is from RNAcentral. Lineage: Eukaryota; Metazoa; Chordata; Actinopteri; Cypriniformes; Danionidae.